RNAcentral lists this ribosomal RNA (492 nucleotides) under uncultured Alphaproteobacteria bacterium. Its description in RNAcentral is "bacterial SSU rRNA". It matches the Rfam family "Bacterial small subunit ribosomal RNA", at positions 92 to 619 of the family's 1533-position model. The record is from RNAcentral. Lineage: Bacteria; Pseudomonadati; Pseudomonadota; Alphaproteobacteria.
UUAGUGGCGGACGGGUGAGUAACACGUGGGAACGUGCCUUUAGGUUCGGAAUAGCUCCUGGAAACGGGUGGUAAUGCCGAAUGUGCCCUUCGGGGGAAAGAUUUAUCGCCUUUAGAGCGGCCCGCGUCUGAUUAGCUUGUUGGUGAGGUAAUGGCUCACCAAGGCUACGAUCAGUAGCUGGUCUGAGAGGAUGACCAGCCACAUUGGGACUGAGACACGGCCCAGACUCCUACGGGAGGCAGCAGUGGGGAAUAUUGGACAAUGGGCGAAAGCCUGAUCCAGCAAUGCCGCGUGAGUGAUGAAGGCCUUAGGGUUGUAAAGCUCUUUUACCAGGGAUGAUAAUGACAGUACCUGGAGAAUAAGCUCCGGCUAACUCCGUGCCAGCAGCCGCGGUAAUACGGAGGGAGCUAGCGUUGUUCGGAAUUACUGGGCGUAAAGCGUACGUAGGCGGUUAUUCAAGUCAGAGGUGAGAGCCUGGAGCUCAACUCCAGA